UACGAAGGGGGCUAGCGUUGCUCGGAAUUACUGGGCGUAAAGGGCGCGUAGGCGGAUGUUUAAGUCGGGGGUGAAAGCCCAGGGCUCAACCCUGGAAUUGCCUUCGAUACUGGAGAGCUUGAGUCCGGGAGAGGUGAGUGGAACUCCGAGUGUAGAGGUGAAAUUCGUAGAUAUUCGGAAGAACACCAGUGGCGAAGGCGGCUCACUGGCCCGGUACUGACGCUGAUGUGCGAAAGCGUGGGGAGCAAACAGG
This 253-nucleotide ribosomal RNA is filed under the name uncultured bacterium. RNAcentral describes it as "partial 16S ribosomal RNA". It matches the Rfam family "Bacterial small subunit ribosomal RNA", at positions 524 to 776 of the family's 1533-position model. The record is from RNAcentral.